GAUGAACGCUGGCGGCGUGCCUAAUACAUGCAAGUCGAGCGAACAGACGAGGAGCUUGCUCCUCUGACGUUAGCGGCGGACGGGUGAGUAACACGUGGAUAACCUACCUAUCAGACUGGGAUAACUUCGGGAAACCGGAGCUAAUACCGGAUAAUAUAUUGAACCGCAUGGUUCAAUAGUGAAAGACGGUUUUGCUGUCACUUAUAGAUGGAUCCGCGCCGCAUUAGCUAGUUGGUAAGGUUACGGCUUACCAAGGCAACGAUGCGUAGCCGACCUGAGAGGCUGAUCGGCCACACUGGAACUGAGACACGGUCCAGACUCCUACGAGAGGCAGCAGUAGGGAAUCGGCCGCAAUGGGCGAAAGCCUGACGGAGCAACGCCGCGUGAGUGAUGAAGGUCCUCGGAUCGUAAAACUCUGUUAUUAGGGAAGAACAAAUGUGUAAGUAACUAUGCACGUCUUGACGGUACCUAAUCAGAAAGCCACGGCUAACUACGUG
Molecule: ribosomal RNA, 497 nt
Filed under: uncultured bacterium
Lineage: Bacteria
Description: partial 16S ribosomal RNA
Rfam family: Bacterial small subunit ribosomal RNA
Source: RNAcentral